RNAcentral lists this transfer RNA (73 nucleotides) under Camelus bactrianus (Bactrian camel). It matches the Rfam family "tRNA". Rfam says of the family: Transfer RNA (tRNA) molecules are approximately 80 nucleotides in length. Their secondary structure includes four short double-helical elements and three loops (D, anti-codon, and T loops). Lineage: Eukaryota; Metazoa; Chordata; Mammalia; Artiodactyla; Camelidae. RNAcentral also lists the same sequence under 1 other name. The record is from Rfam by way of RNAcentral.
GAGGGUGUAGCUCAAGUGGUAGAGCACAUGCUUAGCAUGCAUGAUGUCCUGGGUUCCGUCCCCAGUACCCUCC